GUGUAGGCAGGCUGGCGAAAAACCGAGUCGGCCCUGGUGAGUGGGUCUGGAGCAGGACAUCCAUCCGUGAGACUGGCGACUGAUUAGGGAGAGAGUGAAUAAUCUGAUUAAUCGUCUGUACGAUCCUGUUCCAUGCCUGACCUGUCAAGAUUUGUGGAGGAACUCACGGUCUGCACGCCACAUUCAAGAUAGGGUAUAAUAUAGUGAGACCUUUAGGUCCCUGUAUGCCUGACUGUCCGGACACGUAUCUCCAAGAGUAGGCCCAGGAAUGUGAAUUCAAGAACUGAAGUCAAGAUAUGCCUAUAGAGGAAUACCUCCCUUCUUAGCCUGGAGUCCCG
Non-coding RNA from Pelobates cultripes (western spadefoot toad), 338 nucleotides. Lineage: Eukaryota; Metazoa; Chordata; Amphibia; Anura; Pelobatidae. The record is from the annotation of a GenBank genome assembly.